GAGGUGGGAGGAUCGCUUGAGCCUGGGAGGUUGAGGCUGCAGUGAACCGUGAUCACACCAGUGCACUCCAGCCUGAGUGACAGAGCAAGACCCUGUCUC
Nomascus leucogenys (northern white-cheeked gibbon) is the source of this 99-nucleotide microRNA precursor. Lineage: Eukaryota; Metazoa; Chordata; Mammalia; Primates; Hylobatidae. The record is from Ensembl.